GCAGAGACUGGUGGAUCUAUGCGAG
This 25-nucleotide non-coding RNA is filed under the name Cricetulus griseus (Chinese hamster). Lineage: Eukaryota; Metazoa; Chordata; Mammalia; Rodentia; Cricetidae. The record is from RNAcentral.